UUUAGUAAUUGGUCAAGAUCUGAACACUGUGUGUGUUGGGCGGCUACAAGACCAAAUUGUUACUUGGGUACUAACAAUACAUUUGUAUGUCUGUAUACACAGAGGAAGGAAUGAGUGGGGCAGAGAGAGCAGAGCCAAUGAUGGUAAAGACAUACGUCAUCCUGCGGAAAAAAUACUUUAACAAAGUGCCUGCUGCAGCAAUGUCUGAGAUCAAACAGGAAUGGCCAUUUCUCUUCUCUCAGAAAUGCCUAUUCUCAAACAUUGGCCUCCUGAUGGACGUUGAUGUCCUUCAGAAGCUACAGGAGGCAAUUAGUCGACGAGGACAGACCAUCCUGGAUUACUGUGCAACACUGGACAACCCCAAGAUCCGUGAUGUUCUGGCCUGCUAUGAUCCAGACUCUGACAAGGCUGCCUGCAUUCUGCUGCUCCUAAUGUCGUAAUUCAAAGAGCCGAACGAGAGUUUGAUGCUUGAAGUUGAUCCAUGUGCCACUGCUGUGGACGUCAAUACUGCAGAACUCCCCGGAACCCCCUGCUUGAUCAUUCAAGGUGACAUGAUGAAGCCCUCUGGAUGGCUUACUGUAUAUCCAUUGUGGGACAUGUCGUGAUGGGCCCACACCCUUUAUUUUUACAUGGAGUAGCUGCUUUCUUCAGCAGCUAUUGCGUAUUCAACCUUGAGUAUCCUACCGCUGGAUCUUCGACGCUGGAGUUCAUUCAAAGAUGCUUCCUGGGCAUCAAUCCUGAAAGAGGCUCAAAUACCAAGAAGUGGACAACAAUGAACCCUCAUGUGAGCACCCUUUUGAGGAAACUUAUUGACUUUGAGUGGGCAUCAUAGUUUUUUUUUUUGCAGCAGUAGUUGUCAGGCUCAGUUUUGAGUAGCCUUGUUCUUUUUGUA
This is a long non-coding RNA of Carassius carassius (crucian carp), 892 nucleotides long. RefSeq lists it as uncharacterized. The record is from RefSeq and is a predicted model, not a curated record. NCBI's taxonomy places the organism in Eukaryota, Metazoa, Chordata, Actinopteri, Cypriniformes, Cyprinidae. The transcript is spliced from 4 exons.